AUUCCUACGGGAGGCAGCAGUGGGGAAUAUUGGACAAUGGGCCACAAGCCUGAUCCAGCAAUUCUGUGUGCACGAUGAAGGUCUUCGGAUUGUAAGGUGCUCUCAGUUGGGAAGAAGAAAGUGACGGUACCAACAGAAGAAGCGACGGCUAAAUACGUGCCAGCAGCCGCGGUAAUAAU
This 179-nucleotide ribosomal RNA is filed under the name uncultured bacterium. RNAcentral describes it as "partial 16S ribosomal RNA". It matches the Rfam family "Bacterial small subunit ribosomal RNA", at positions 335 to 527 of the family's 1533-position model. The record is from RNAcentral.